RNAcentral lists this ribosomal RNA (334 nucleotides) under uncultured eukaryote. RNAcentral describes it as "partial 18S ribosomal RNA". It matches the Rfam family "Eukaryotic small subunit ribosomal RNA", at positions 1470 to 1796 of the family's 1831-position model. The record is from RNAcentral.
CCCUUAGAUGUCCGGGGCCGCACGCGCGCUACACUGAAGGAACCAGCGUGGCUUUCUCCCUGACCCGAAAGGGUUGGGAAACCCGUUGAAUCUCCUUCGUGAUAGGGAUUGGGGCUUGAAAUUGUUCCCCAUGAACGAGGAAUUCCCAGUAAGCGCGAGUCAUAAGCUCGCGUUGAUUACGUCCCUGCCCUUUGUACACACCGCCCGUCGCUACUACCGAUUGAACGGUUUAGUGAGGGCCUCGGAUUGGUCUCGGCCCGCUCUUUACCGGGCGGCGCCGUUGGUCGAGAAGACGCUCGAACUUGAUCGUUUAGAGGAAGUAAAAGUCGUAACA